RNAcentral lists this non-coding RNA (171 nucleotides) under Lysobacter enzymogenes. RNAcentral's name for it is "FMN sequence". It matches the Rfam family "FMN riboswitch aptamer (RFN element)". Rfam says of the family: The RFN element is a highly conserved domain that is found frequently in the 5'-untranslated regions of prokaryotic mRNAs that encode for flavin mononucleotide (FMN) biosynthesis and transport proteins. This element is a metabolite-dependent riboswitch that directly binds FMN in the absence of proteins. The record is from Rfam by way of RNAcentral. Lineage: Bacteria; Pseudomonadati; Pseudomonadota; Gammaproteobacteria; Lysobacterales; Lysobacteraceae.
UAACGUCUUCAGGGCGGGGCGAAAUUCCCCACCGGCGGUAGGCGCCUUGCGCGCGAGCCCGCGAGCGCCCGGGCGGUCCGGUUUCCUGUCAGGAAGCCGCGCCGCGCGGGGUCAGCAGAUCCGGUCGAAUGCCGGAGCCGACGGUCACAGUCCGGAUGAAAGAAGACGACU